Molecule: ribosomal RNA, 406 nt
Filed under: uncultured bacterium
Lineage: Bacteria
Description: partial 16S ribosomal RNA
Rfam family: Bacterial small subunit ribosomal RNA
Source: RNAcentral
AUUGAACGCUGGCGGCAGGCCUAACACAUGCAAGUCGAACGAGUGGCGGACGGGUGAGUAAUGUCUGGGAAACUGCCUGAUGGAGGGGGAUAACUACUGGAAACGGUAGCUAAUACCGCAUACCAUCGGAUGUGCCCCUAUGGGAUGAGCUAGUAGGUGGGGUAACGGCUCACCUAGGCGACCAUCCCUAGCUGUGCUGAGAGGAUGACCACAAACACUGGAACGGUGAGCGGGUCCAGAAUCGUACGGGAGGCAGCAGUGGGGAAUAUUGCAAAAUGGGCGCAAGCCUGCUGCAGGCAAUCCGCGUGUAUGAAGAGGGCCUUCGGGUUGUAAAGUACUUUAAGCGGGGAGGCGUUACCCGAAGAAGAAGCACCGGCUAACUCCGCGCCAGCAGCGGCGGUAAUAC